RNAcentral lists this long non-coding RNA (358 nucleotides) under Mustela putorius furo (domestic ferret). RNAcentral describes it as "lncRNA (ENSMPUG00000032101.1)". The record is from RNAcentral. Lineage: Eukaryota; Metazoa; Chordata; Mammalia; Carnivora; Mustelidae.
GGGGAGCCUGAGGUUGUAAUGAGGCAUGAGUACCUUCUUUACCACCUGCUGGAAGUUUGGAUUAUCACCAAGGACAGGAAUUGAUCAUUCUGAGUCCAGUUACCAAGGAAGGAGGUUCUAAUGACAGAGCCUGUGGCCUCAGGAAGAUGUAUUCAGAUCACGGACCAAACGGAAACCGGGUUCGGGAAACUUCCUCUCUCUGUGGCCUCCCCGGAGCGCUAUUUGAAGACCAUUACUGCUGUUAAUUAAUGAUUUGCCAGCUGUCUACACUAAUUUUAUGGCAUUUAUGUAUGCACAUGCAUUGCAUUUGAGUCCAUUUUCCCAGACUAAACCAAAUACAACGAGCGUGAAAUAUGAA